CCGCGCUCCUACACGCACGGGGAGCUGGCCUUACACAUCCCCACCCAGUACCUGAAGGUGAAGGGAGAUGGUGGGCUUGCGUUCUGUUGGCGUGCGCCGCCUUUACGUUCCGCGAUGGGAACAGGGAGGAAGAGCUUUGGACCCCGCCGGGCCGGGUAGUGCAGCUGCCACCCAGCCCUCCCUAGCGCCAUGCCUAAAUCCGGGCUGGCUCGCUCUGAACGCUGCCCGGCCCUGCGGCCCCCUCGCCGGGCACUGGCCAGCCGGAGACCAGCCAGGUCACUCCGGAGAGCCUCGCUACCGCUCGGAACCUCGCGGGAUCACAGCGCCCUACUCAGGCUUUUGGGGACUGAGACGUCCAGGCGGUACCCUUUGCCAAGUCAGCACCCACCUUCGCCUCAGCUAGGCACUCUGGUCUCGGAGGCACCGGCUCUGGGAGCUCCAGAGAGGGCGAGGCCAGUUCUACUCCUUCCCAAAAAGGGUUUGAGACCAAGACACUGAUGCUGAGAACACUGUUCCUCGUUCUGAUGCCAGCAGCUUGCACAUGGUUAAUGCUGGAACAGGAGGCAGGAAUGUCACAUCCCUUUUCCGGGUGCUCCUCAAGGUUCUCCCAGCUGGAGAACAAACCCAACUGGAAGUGGAAGGGCCCAUUCAUAAACAGGUGGGCCCUCAAUCCAGUGAUGAGUGUCCUUACGAGAGAUAAGAAGAGAAAACAUGAAAGAGAGGCUACGUGAAGAUGGAGGCAGACAAUCGAGUGAGGCACUGGACAUGCCGGAGCCUCCAGAUGCAGGAAAAGGCAAGGAGUUCUCUUCUCCACUAGAGCCUCCAGAGGGAGCACAGUCCCACUGACAACUUCAUUUUGGAUUUCUGGCUCCAGAACUUGCGGCUUAAUGCUCACAGAUGAAGCACCGAUUCUGAGAGCAUGAGGAUGAAGUAAAUGAGAAAGCCAGAAGGAUAUCUAGUCUCUGAAGGCAUCAUGAAGACUUGUUGCUAUGAGGGGAAAAAAAAGACCAUUUGACAAACCAGUAGAAGGAAGAGGUGCCCUCAUUAAGAUUUCUAAUUCAGUGGGUUUGGAGAAGGGCCCUGCAUCUUUCACAUGAACUGCAAGUGAUCCUCUAGCCAGUAAUCCAAAGAUCAUCCUGAAGAAACUCUGCUUUGGCAGGUGUGUAAAUGGGAAAUUUCAUGGUAAAUGCAGAAGAGAGAGAAGAGCAUCAUAAAUUUGAGGACGAUGGCAAGUCAAGUAACAAAUUGCCAGUGGCAUCUAAGAGCUUACAAAUAAAUGACUGCUUAGACUUUACAUUAUGACCCACCAACACGAUCCCUGAAUUUUCAAAUUUAUGAGAUAUCACAGUGAAAGAGAACUAAUGGUAAAUCUAGAAAUUGCUUUUAGCAGAUUCAGUCACUUCCAUUAUCAUUUAGUGUUAUGAAAUCCUACCGAGUAGAUGAGAAUAUUGUCUACCUGAGAACUGUUGCUCUAUAAUAUAUUGACUUGGGUGACCUAUACUAAGAAAUGUAAGACCUAUUCAACUCUCACAAGUGCAGUUAAAGCAGUUCCCUUUCUAAGAAGCAAAUCUAAAUAUAAUAAAUGGAUGCUGCCUCUAUUUAAAUAAAGGACUUUAAUUGUCAAUAUCAGUACAAAAUAUUCCAUUUUUUUCUUCCUGAGAGUAUCUUAUUUACAGAUAAUAACCCCAGUUCUGAUUUUUAAUCAUGAUAGCUCCCUUGCUAAAACAAAUCCAGCAUAUAAGAAUCUAUGCUUCCACAGAAGAUGCAUUUAGGCUAUUGAUCCUUUCUUUAUAAAAUAGCAAGCUCCCCUAAUGCAUUUAAAAUUGGACUUUAUUGAAACAUGGCAUUAGAAUUCUUAUACUGAAAUUUUUGUGAAGUGUAUAUAGCAAACAUAAAAUAAUUACAGUGGAGUUCUGUCUUAUUCAGGAGUCAGGCACUUAAGUGUGUUCAUAACACUCAAGUGUAGACAUAAAUUAACAUUGGAAAUCUCUCAAAUCGUCCAUGUAGUGUAAAACAAUAGCAGGUUUCCUGGCCUUCAGUGACAUGAAUGUUUAAAUACCGACUCCCUUCUUUCAUGCUUUCAGCGCUAAAGAUGAGGAGUUGAGAAGAACUGACAAGUGCAGGUUGAGAUUACCCAUAUUCUGCCCAGGGCAAGGGAUUCAGAAGAAAAAUACAAAGUCGUGGCCCUCAGGGUCCAGUCUGGUGGGAGGACAGACCAGGAAGCAAUCCAUUAUAGUGGGGUAAGGGCUCUAGGGGAGUUAUGGUCAAGCUGUAUCAUGGACCUAUAAAAGCGCAAAUGUCCCUUGAGCUAGGACUGAGACAGGGAGAGAUGAGGCAGCCAGGCAGACAUCUAAGAGGAGGUGCUGGCACUGGUGCCGCAUUUUAGAGGCUGGAGUAAACAGCUGUGUGUGCUGCCUGGGGAAGUAGGAAAGGGAAUGAAGCUGCUUCCCAGGGCUGGAGCACAGUGUGCCUCAGGAGAGCGGCCAGGAACCGAGGAAAAAUAGGGAAGGCCCAGAGCAAAAGCCUCCACACAAUGCUAAGGAAUUUUAACUUUAUUCUAAAAAUAAUGGGCAGUCAUUAAAGGAUACUAAGCAGAAAAAUGAAUUAAGUAAACUUGCAUUUAGGAAGUUUAUUCUGAUUGAUAAAAUUUAGGGUUUAUGGUGAUUUCCAUGAAGCAUUCAAAAUUAGAACGUUGGUCAGGAACUUCAUCCCCUAAUAUGCCUGCUCUAAGUUCUUUAUAUUUUACCUGCAAUUGGCACCCAGAAAUAAAGAUGACUUCCAAUACAACUCUGUAUUUUACUGACUUCACUCCUGUGGGCCAUCAUGACUCUGGGAGACUUCUCUCUGAAUUCAAGAAAUCAAUGUAAAAUAAUUUAAUAGGAAUUAUCUAUCCUUUUCAUUCAUUUAUUUCCCAAGGCCAGCUUCUAAGUGAAUCUAGAGAAAAUGUUACCAUGGAUCCCCACUCUGUGCUUGAAAUGCAAAUGAUAAGUAAUGAUGACACUAAUGAAAAAUUAGCCCUAAUUGCUAGUCAUUGGAGCAAUAUUUCUUUUUUAUGACACUGAUUUGAGUAGUCCAUGAAGAGGAAAUUCAGAAUCAAAACCAGUUAUAAAUGAACCAUUUUGAAGGACUGGAGUCCAGAGCAAGUGUUAUUUAAUCUGCCCAGAGGCCAUGCAGAAGGACAGCCUGUU
Molecule: long non-coding RNA, 3188 nt
Organism: Manis pentadactyla (Chinese pangolin)
Lineage: Eukaryota; Metazoa; Chordata; Mammalia; Pholidota; Manidae
Exons: 4
Source: RefSeq, a predicted model, not a curated record